ACACACACAAACGCAAUAGUAACUAUGUGAAAUGAUGGCUGUGUUAAUUAGCCUAAUGUGGUAAUCAUUUCACAAUGUAUACAUAUAUCAAAACAUCAUUCUGUAUAUCUUAAAUAUAGGCAUUUUUGUCAUUUAUGCCUCAAUAAAACUAGAAUAAAAGGAUUAUAUUAAUUUGAACCACUUUAAAUGCAUUUGGGUUUAAUACUCUGUAGAGUUUGGUUAAUUAAUCUUCAGUAAAUAAACACAAGAUUAGAAAUGUUGUCAAUAUUCCUGGAAAGUCGGGUUAUUUGUUUUCUGAAUAUAUGUCUUUAAAUUUUUUCACAAAUGUGUGGUUUCAUUAGUUUGCAAAGAAUAUAUAUAUAAUUUGAAGGAUGCAGAGCUAGAUAAUGUUCGACUUCAAUCCCUGCUUCUGUCAAAGCUAUAUAGGAUCAGCCCAUUCAAAUGAAGAUGAAAAUGAGCUCUUUAGCUCAUCUGGGAAGCAUCUGUGCAGAAUUGUGGAAGGCAGUGGUAAGAAAAAAAACCAUUAUUAGGUAAGCAAA
Molecule: long non-coding RNA, 539 nt
Organism: Sapajus apella (tufted capuchin)
Lineage: Eukaryota; Metazoa; Chordata; Mammalia; Primates; Cebidae
Exons: 2
Source: RefSeq, a predicted model, not a curated record